Molecule: long non-coding RNA, 426 nt
Organism: Oncorhynchus tshawytscha (Chinook salmon)
Lineage: Eukaryota; Metazoa; Chordata; Actinopteri; Salmoniformes; Salmonidae
Source: Ensembl
GAGGAGGUAAUUUCAGGGCCAUAAAAACACACCUUCACAACAUGAUGAUUAAAACAGGCAAUUAUGGUCUCCUUAAGAAACCAGCACAGAAAAACCCAUCAGCGAUACUUUGACCUUUAUUAUAGCGAAAGAUGAUGACAUGAGACAUUACAAUAACCCAUCACCGAACAGUCAUUCAGGUAGGUAAACAGUCAUUCAGGUAUGUAAACAGUCAUUCAGGUAGGUAAACAGUCAUUCAGGUAGGUAAACAGUCAUUCAGGUACGUAAACAGUCAUUCAGGUACGUAAACAGUCAUUCAGGUGGGUAAACAUUCAUUCAGGGACAUAAACAGUCAUUCAGGUAUGUAAGAUGGACUAUAGCCUUCUAAACUUUAGCUACAGUAUUGUGUCCAAUAAUAAACAAACAAGAUUCAAUGACUUCUCAAGC